AUGAUGGAUUUCAACAAGUAUCCAUUCAUGGAGGAACCUUCUGAUCUUAAGGAGAUUUUUUUUCGUAGGCUUGUGAAAGAAAAACAGAAGAUACUUAUCGAGUUGCAUGAGAUGGAAUAUGCUUGCAGACAUUCUGUGGCAACGGAGAUCUUUUUCUCUGUGAACAUAGAAGAAUUCCGCGAGCUGGACUUGAGAAAACCCGGGCAGGUCAUUGGAUGGGCAAUCACACAAGGCAAGUCAGAGAUUCCGGAACGCCGUGCCGGAUGGGCCUGGUUCGGCGAAACGAAAGGUGUGUUGGAGAAUUGGGCGGGAUCGUCGGAUUAUCAACUGAAGCCUAAUCCUAAUCAUGGCGUACAAAUUGAACGUCUUAUACAUUUUAGAUCUUUUUUCCGUUGUAGGAAAUGUAUGCUCGAGCUUGAGCUUGUAGUUUGA
This 432-nucleotide ribosomal RNA is filed under the name Triticum aestivum (bread wheat). RNAcentral's name for it is "partial small subunit ribosomal RNA". The record is from RNAcentral. Lineage: Eukaryota; Viridiplantae; Streptophyta; Magnoliopsida; Poales; Poaceae.